AUUGAACGCUGGCGGCAGGCCUAACACAUGCAAGUCGAACGAGUGGCGGACGGGUGAGUAAUGUCUGGGAAACUGCCCGAUGGAGGGGGAUAACUACUGGAAACGGUAGCUAAUACCGCAUACCAUCGGAUGUGCCCAGAUGGGAUUAGCUAGUAGGUGGGGUAACGGCUCACCUGGGCAACGAUCCCUAGCUGGUCUGAGAGGAUGACCAGCCACACUGGAACUGAGACACGGUCCAGACUCCUACGGGAGGCAUCAGUGGGGAAUAUUGCACAAUGGGCGCAAGCCUGAUGCGGCCAUGCGGCGUGUAUGAAGAAGGCCUUCGGGUUGUAAAGUACUUUGAGCGAGGAGGCGUUACUCGCAGAAGAAGCACCGGCUAACUCCGUGCCAGCAGCCGCGGUAAUAG
RNAcentral lists this ribosomal RNA (406 nucleotides) under uncultured bacterium. RNAcentral describes it as "partial 16S ribosomal RNA". It matches the Rfam family "Bacterial small subunit ribosomal RNA", at positions 30 to 526 of the family's 1533-position model. The record is from RNAcentral.